UUCCGUUAGGUGAACCUGCGGAAGGAUCAUUA
RNAcentral lists this ribosomal RNA (32 nucleotides) under Lactifluus aff. glaucescens EDC-2013. RNAcentral describes it as "partial 18S ribosomal RNA". The record is from RNAcentral. Lineage: Eukaryota; Fungi; Basidiomycota; Agaricomycetes; Russulales; Russulaceae.